RNAcentral lists this ribosomal RNA (1322 nucleotides) under metagenome. RNAcentral describes it as "bacterial LSU rRNA". It matches the Rfam family "Bacterial large subunit ribosomal RNA", at positions 1611 to 2925 of the family's 2925-position model. The record is from RNAcentral.
AAAAAAGCCACUAAGCUUCAGCUAUACACGACCGUACCGCAAACCGACACUGGUGCGCGAGAUGAGUAUUCUAAGGCGCUUGAGAGAACUCAGGAGAAGGAACUCGGCAAAUUGACACCGUAACUUCGGAAGAAGGUGUGCCCUAUUAGUGUGAAGUGAACAACGGAGCAUGAAUGGGUUGCAAAAAAUCGGUGGCUGCGACUGUUUAUUAAAAACACAGCACUCUGCAAACACGAAAGUGGACGUAUAGGGUGUGACGCCUGCCCGGUGCUGGAAGAUUAAAUGAUGGGGUGCAAGCUCUUGAUUGAAGUCCCAGUAAACGGCGGCCGUAACAAUAACGGUCCUAAGGUAGCGAAAUUCCUUGUCGGGUAAGUUCCGACCUGCACGAAUGGCGUAACGAUGGCCACACUGUCUCCUCCUGAGACUCAGCGAAGUUGAAAUGUUUGUGAUGAUGCAAUCUCCCCGCGGAAAGACGGAAAGACCCCAUGAACCUUUACUGUAGCUUUGUAUUGGACUUUGAACAGAUCUGUGUAGGAUAGGUGGGAGGCUUUGAAGCAGGGUCGCUAGAUCUUGUGGAGCCAACGUUGAAAUACCACCCUGGUGUGUUUGAGGUUCUAACCUAGGUCCAUUAUCUGGAUCGGGGACAGUGCAUGGUAGGCAGUUUGACUGGGGCGGUCUCCUCCCAAAGCGUAACGGAGGAGUUCGAAGGUACGCUAGUUACGGUCGGACAUCGUGACGAUAGUGCAAUGGCAUAAGCGUGCUUAACUGCGAGACUGACAAGUCGAGCAGAUGCGAAAGCAGGACAUAGUGAUCCGGUGGUUCUGUAUGGAAGGGCCAUCGCUCAACGGAUAAAAGGUACUCUGGGGAUAACAGGCUGAUACCGCCCAAGAGUUCAUAUCGACGGCGGUGUUUGGCACCUCGAUGUCGGCUCAUCUCAUCCUGGGGCUGUAGCCGGUCCCAAGGGUAUGGCUGUUCGCCAUUUAAAGAGGUACGUGAGCUGGGUUUAAAACGUCGUGAGACAGUUUGGUCCCUAUCUUCCGUGGGCGCUGCAGAUUUGAGGAAGCCUGCUCCUAGUACGAGAGGACCGGAGUGGACACACCUCUGGUGUAUCGGUUGUCACGCCAGUGGCAUUGCCGAGUAGCUAAGUGUGGAAGAGAUAACCGCUGAAAGCAUCUAAGCGGGAAACUCGUUUCAAGAUGAGAUCUGCCGGGGCCUUGAGCCCCCUGAAGAGUCGUUCAAGACCAGGACGUUGAUAGGUCAGGUGUGGAAGCGCAGUAAUGCGUUAAGCUAACUGAUACUAAUUGCUCGUGCGGCUUGACCCU